UGGGGAAUUUUGGACAAUGGGCGAAAGCCUGAUCCAGCAAUGCCGCGUGUGUGAAGAAGGCCUUCGGGUUGUAAAGCACUUUUGUCCGGAAAGAAAUCCUCUGGGUUAAUACCUCGGGGGGAUGACGGUACCGGAAGAAUAAGCACCGGCUAACUACGUGCCAGCAGCCGCGGUAAUACGUAGGGUGCAAGCGUUAAUCGGAAUUACUGGGCGUAAAGCGUGCGCAGGCGGUUUUGUAAGACGGAUGUGAAAUCCCCGGGCUUAACCUGGGAACUGCAUUCGUGACUGCAAGGCUAGAGUAUGGCAGAGGGGGGUAGAAUUCCACGUGUAGCAGUGAAAUGCGUAGAGAUGUGGAGGAAUACCGAUGGCGAAGGCAGCCCCCUGGGCCAAUACUGACGCUCAUGCACGAAAGCGUGGGGAGCAAACAGGAUUAGAUACCCUGGUAGUCCACGCCCUAAACGAUGUCAACUAGUUGUUGGGGAUUCAUUUCCUUAGUAACGUAGCUAACGCGUGAAGUUGACCGCCUGGGGAGUACGGUCGCAAGAUUAAAACUUAAAUGAAUUGAC
RNAcentral lists this ribosomal RNA (566 nucleotides) under uncultured bacterium. RNAcentral describes it as "partial 16S ribosomal RNA". It matches the Rfam family "Bacterial small subunit ribosomal RNA", at positions 355 to 914 of the family's 1533-position model. The record is from RNAcentral.